This 497-nucleotide ribosomal RNA is filed under the name uncultured bacterium. RNAcentral describes it as "partial 16S ribosomal RNA". It matches the Rfam family "Bacterial small subunit ribosomal RNA", at positions 28 to 507 of the family's 1533-position model. The record is from RNAcentral.
GAUGAACGCUGGCGGCGUGCCUAAUACAUGCAAGUCGAGCGAACAGAUGAGGAGCUUGCUCCUCUGACGUUAGCGGCGGACGGGUGAGUAACACGUGGAUAACCUACCUAUAAGACUGGGAUAACUUCGGGAAACCGGAGCUAAUACCGGAUAAUAUAUUGAACCGCAUGGUUCAAUAGUGAAAGACGGUUUUGCUGUCAAUUAUAGAUGGAUCCGCGCCGCAUUAGCUAGUUGGUAAGGUAACGGCUUACCAAGGCAACGAUGCGUAGCCGACCUGAGAGGGAGAUCGGCCACCCUGGAACUGAGACACGGUCCAGACUCCUACGGGAGGCAGCAGUAGGGAAUCUUCCGCAAUGGGCGAAAGCCUGACGGAGCAACGCCGCGUGAGUGAUGAAGGUCUUCGGAUCGUAAAACUCUGUUAUUAGGGAAGAACAAAUGUGUAAGUAACUAUGCACGUCUUGACGGUACCUAAUCAGAAAGCCACGGCUAACUACGUG